AAAAACAUCGCCUCCCGCAAAAAUCAACGUAUAGGAGGUCCUACCUGCCCAGUGACUAUAAGUUUAACGGCCGCGGUAUUUUGACCGUGCAAAGGUAGCGCAAUCACUUGUCUUUUAAAUGAAGACCCGUAUGAAUGGUGGAACGAGGGCUUAACUGUCUCCCCCCUCUAGUCAAUGAAAUUGAUCUACCCGUGCAGAAGCGGGUAUUAUAAUACAAGACGAGAAGACCCUUUGGAGCUUAAGAUAAAAGACCAACUAUGUCAAAAGUCCUAAAAAAGACUAAACUAAAUAGCACUGGUCCCCAUCUUCGGUUGGGGUGACCACGGGAGAAAACAUAGCUCCCAUGCGGACUGGGGAAACCCCCUAAAACUAAGAGAGACAUCUCUAAGGCACAGCACAUCUGACCAAAAAGAUCCGGCUACAUGCCGACCAACGGACCAAGUUACCCUAGGGAUAACAGCGCAAUCCCCUUUCAGAGUCCAUAUCGACAAGGGGGUUUACGACCUCGAUGUUGGAUCAGGACAUCCUAAUGGUGCAGCCGCUAUUAAGGGUUC
This 554-nucleotide ribosomal RNA is filed under the name Spectracanthicus punctatissimus. Its description in RNAcentral is "partial 16S ribosomal RNA". It matches the Rfam family "Bacterial large subunit ribosomal RNA", at positions 1809 to 2574 of the family's 2925-position model. The record is from RNAcentral. Lineage: Eukaryota; Metazoa; Chordata; Actinopteri; Siluriformes; Loricariidae.